CCUCAACAAGCCACGCCGCCAUUGGGCAAAGCGGCGAAAGCCAGGCAGCCAAUGAGAGGACGAGGUGUUCUAGCGGCCAUGACACUAGAGACUUGAAGUGCCCCUCAAAAGACUCCAGGUGCCCCUCGGAAAACGCCAGCUUUCAGCUUUCACUCGGUUUUUGGCUGCAGAAAAAUAACGGUACCGUUCUGCUGCAGUGAGCUUGGAAAACCCACAGCAGGGCAGAAUGGCGUGAAUGCUACAGGAUUCCUAUUUGGGGGCUUAUCUUGUGACUCACGUUUGCACGCCUGAGUGCUCACAUGGUGUAGCACCUUGCAUCUCCCUUGAAAGGAUCUCAAGGCAUUGCAGCACCCGGCUUGAGCCUCACUGGUUUAAGUAGGCAGUCACACAGCUUGUACCCCAAAAUGUGCGCUUCUUACUUUGUUCUUUACAUCUGUGUUUUGUUCUGGUUAUGUGUUUGUGUUAAUAAAUAAUUAAAAAGGGGGAGGGGGUGGAAUUGGCCUGUACAUUAGACUAUCUCUAGCUUUCUGAUUCCUUUCCACCUAGAGCAGUGGUUCUCAACCUCAGGUCGUGACCCAAAUGAGAGUUGCAGGGACAAUGCAUUUGAUAUCUGGACUCCAAUACCUUGUACUGAAAUGCUCAAGCCUAGUCUUCACGCAGAGGAACAGAGACGUACUGAUCAAUGUCACAUUUUCCCCCCAUUUAAGUCAUAAGCUUGAAGAGUAGUUGAUUAAAAAAAACAAUAGAUUGCAUGACUGUUCUUGUGAUUAAAACUGUUCAAAACCAAAUAUUGAGCAGAGACUGUUUUGAAGAAGUUAGAACUAUUUUUUUCUGAAUAGGAUUUGGGUGUCUUAAAAAUAGGUUUUAAAAAUAGCAAUUACUUUUUUAUUGGAAAUAGUUUCUUUUAAGCCCACUGAAAUGAGAUACCACCCACUCCCCCCACAGAGAUUUCAGCUUUAAAAUUCUUAAUAGAAAAAUGGAAACAGAAAAGAAAACAUUUGUUUUCUCAAUAAUUUUCUUGGAAUUUGGUUUUUAACUAGCUAUAAUUUGCCCAUAUCUCACACAUUUAAAAUACAGUCAAGUAUUUUUUUCUAAAUGCUAGCCCUACAAAUCCAGGCUGCAAUCAGAGUUUCUUCCUGGAUUAUAAAUUGUCAGCAAUAAAAUCCUAUUGUCAGCUCUCACCAUUACGUCCGUGCUAUUUGUGUGAUUUGUCCCUGCUAUUGGAAUUUAAUUCUCAAUUCUGCAACUGAUGCAAGCUAGGAUAGUCUCUAGCCACCACUAUCUGAACUGAGUUAGCUCUGCAAGCUAAGAGCAACAAUUAUUUUGACCAGUGAAUUAAUAAGGUCUCACUGGGAAGAUUGUAACAAUUUUAUAUAUGCAUUUUUUGGAAUAGAACAAGUUUUGUGGGGCUUUUUUUUAGCAGCAAGCAUCUUGAAUCAUCAAGAUAGCAAGUGAGAGAAUAGAAGGAGGGGUAUUAAGAUCCUACGAAGUGGUGAAAAUGUGAGUCUGUUUUCUCAUUCAAGGCUACAUAGUAACUAGAUAAGGACAAACUUAAAUUCAGCUCUUUUGACUUCUCAGCAUGGCCUUUAACUGUAGCUGUGCCACCAGGAGCCUUAUUGAUUUAUUUAUAUAGAAAGGAAUUCUAGUGAUACUAAAUUCAAUGACUGCAGUAUCAGGCCUUGUAUUAUUAAGAUAUAGAGAAGCAAUUUUUUUACCGUUGUAUACUGAGGAUUUGCUAGUGGACCGAUAGAUGAGUUGUUUACACCUAAAUAAAUACCAGAAGUUGAA
Long non-coding RNA from Alligator mississippiensis (American alligator), 1788 nucleotides. RefSeq lists it as uncharacterized. The transcript is spliced from 2 exons. Lineage: Eukaryota; Metazoa; Chordata; Crocodylia; Alligatoridae. The record is from RefSeq and is a predicted model, not a curated record.